GGUUAAGCGACUAAGCGUACACGGUGGAUGCCCUGGCAGUCAGAGGCGAUGAAGGACGUGCUAAUCUGCGAUAAGCGUCGGUAAGGUGAUAUGAACCGUUAUAACCGGCGAUUUCCGAAUGGGGAAACCCAGUGUGUUUCGACACACUAUCAUUAACUGAAUCCAUAGGUUAAUGAGGCGAACCGGGGGAACUGAAACAUCUAAGUACCCCGAGGAAAAGAAAUCAACCGAGAUUCCCCCAGUAGCGGCGAGCGAACGGGGAGCAGCCCAGAGCCUGAAUCNNNNNNNNNNNNNNNNNNNNNNNNNNNNNNNNNNNNNNNNNNNNNNNNNNNNNNNNNNNNNNNNNNNNNNNNNNNNNNNNNNNNNNNNNNNNNGGGCGGGACACGUGGUAUCCUGUCUGAAUAUGGGGGGACCAUCCUCCAAGGCUAAAUACUCCUGACUGACCGAUAGUGAACCAGUACCGUGAGGGAAAGGCGAAAAGAACCCCGGCGAGGGGAGUGAAAAAGAACCUGAAACCGUGUACGUACAAGCAGUGGGAGCACGCUUAGGCGUGUGACUGCGUACCUUUUGUAUAAUGGGUCAGCGACUUAUAUUCUGUAGCAAGGUUAACCGAAUAGGGGAGCCGAAGGGAAACCGAGUCUUAACUGGGCGUUAAGUUGCAGGGUAUAGACCCGAAACCCGGUGAUCUAGCCAUGGGCAGGUUGAAGGUUGGGUAACACUAACUGGAGGACCGAACCGACUAAUGUUGAAAAAUUAGCGGAUGACUUGUGGCUGGGGGUGAAAGGCCAAUCAAACCGGGAGAUAGCUGGUUCUCCCCGAAAGCUAUUUAGGUAGCGCCUCGUGAAUUCAUCUCCGGGGGUAGAGCACUGUUUCGGCAAGGGGGUCAUCCCGACUUACCAACCCGAUGCAAACUGCGAAUACCGGAGAAUGUUAUCACGGGAGACACACGGCGGGUGCUAACGUCCGUCGUGAAGAGGGAAACAACCCAGACCGCCAGCUAAGGUCCCAAAGUCAUGGUUAAGUGGGAAACGAUGUGGGAAGGCCCAGACAGCCAGGAUGUUGGCUUAGAAGCAGCCAUCAUUUAAAGAAAGCGUAAUAGCUCACUGGUCGAGUCGGCCUGCGCGGAAGAUGUAACGGGGCUAAACCAUNNNNNNNNNNNNNNNNNNNNNNNNNNNNNNNNNNNNGGUAGGGGAGCGUUCUGUAAGCCUGUGAAGGUGUGCUGUGAGGCAUGCUGGAGGUAUCAGAAGUGCGAAUGCUGACAUAAGUAACGAUAAAGCGGGUGAAAAGCCCGCUCGCCGGAAGACCAAGGGUUCCUGUCCAACGUUAAUCGGGGCAGGGUGAGUCGACCCCUAAGGCGAGGCCGAAAGGCGUAGUCGAUGGGAAACAGGUUAAUAUUCCUGUACUUGGUGUUACUGCGAAGGGGGGACGGAGAAGGCUAUGUUGGCCGGGCGACGGUUGUCCCGGUUUAAGCGUGUAGGCUGGUUUUCCAGGCAAAUCCGGAAAAUCAAGGCUGAGGCGUGAUGACGAGGCACUACGGUGCUGAAGCAACAAAUGCCCUGCUUCCAGGAAAAGCCUCUAAGCAUCAGGUAACAUCAAAUCGUACCCCAAACCGACACAGGUGGUCAGGUAGAGAAUACCAAGGCGCUUGAGAGAACUCGGGUGAAGGAACUAGGCAAAAUGGUGCCGUAACUUCGGGAGAAGGCACGCUGAUAUGUAGGUGAAGUCCCUCGCGGAUGGAGCUGAAAUCAGUCGAAGAUACCAGCUGGCUGCAACUGUUUAUUAAAAACACAGCACUGUGCAAACACGAAAGUGGACGUAUACGGUGUGACGCCUGCCCGGUGCCGGAAGGUUAAUUGAUGGGGUUAGCGGUAACGCGAAGCUCUUGAUCGAAGCCCCGGUAAACGGCGGCCGUAACUAUAACGGUCCUAAGGUAGCGAAAUUCCUUGUCGGGUAAGUUCCGACCUGCACGAAUGGCGUAAUGAUGGCCAGGCUGUCUCCACCCGAGACUCAGUGAAAUUGAACUCGCUGUGAAGAUGCAGUGUACCCGCGGCAAGACGGAAAGACCCCGUGAACCUUUACUAUAGCUUGACACUGAACAUUGAGCCUUGAUGUGUAGGAUAGGUGGGAGGCUUUGAAGUGUGGACGCCAGUCUGCAUGGAGCCGACCUUGAAAUACCACCCUUUAAUGUUUGAUGUUCUAACGUUGACCCGUAAUCGGGGUUGCGGACAGUGUCUGGUGGGUAGUUUGACUGGGGCGGUCUCCUCCUAAAGAGUAACGGAGGAGCACGAAGGUUGGCUAAUCCUGGUCGGACAUCAGGAGGUUAGUGCAAUGGCAUAAGCCAGCUUGACUGCGAGCGUGACGGCGCGAGCAGGUGCGAAAGCAGGUCAUAGUGAUCCGGUGGUUCUGAAUGGAAGGGCCAUCGCUCAACGGAUAAAAGGUACUCCGGGGAUAACAGGCUGAUACCGCCCAAGAGUUCAUAUCGACGGCGGUGUUUGGCACCUCGAUGUCGGCUCAUCACAUCCUGGGGCUGAAGUAGGUCCCAAGGGUAUGGCUGUUCGCCAUUUAAAGUGGUACGCGAGCUGGGUUUAGAACGUCGUGAGACAGUUCGGUCCCUAUCUGCCGUGGGCGCUGGAGAACUGAGGGGGGCUGCUCCUAGUACGAGAGGACCGGAGUGGACGCAUCACUGGUGUUCGGGUUGUCAUGCCAAUGGCACUGCCCGGUAGCUAAAUGCGGAAGAGAUAAGUGCUGAAAGCAUCUAAGCACGAAACUUGCCCCGAGAUGAGUUCUCCCUGACUCCUUGAGAGUCCUGAAGGAACGUUGAAGACGACGACGUUGAUAGGCCGGGUGUGUAAGCGCAGCGAUGCGUUGAGCUAACCGGUACUAAUGAACCGUGAGGCUUAACCUU
RNAcentral lists this ribosomal RNA (2905 nucleotides) under Escherichia coli. RNAcentral's name for it is "23S ribosomal RNA". It matches the Rfam family "Bacterial large subunit ribosomal RNA". The record is from RNAcentral. Lineage: Bacteria; Pseudomonadati; Pseudomonadota; Gammaproteobacteria; Enterobacterales; Enterobacteriaceae.